This 443-nucleotide ribosomal RNA is filed under the name uncultured bacterium. RNAcentral describes it as "partial 16S ribosomal RNA". It matches the Rfam family "Bacterial small subunit ribosomal RNA", at positions 338 to 795 of the family's 1533-position model. The record is from RNAcentral.
CCUACGGGCGGCAGCAGUGGGGAAUAUUGGACAAUGGGGGGAACCCUGAUCCAGCGACGCCGCGUGAGUGAAGAAGUAUUUCGGUAUGUAAAGCUCUAUCAGCAGGGAAGAAAGAAAUGACGGUACCUGACUAAGAAGCCCCGGCUAACUACGUGCCAGCAGCCGCGGUAAUACGUAGGGGGCAAGCGUUAUCCGGAAUUACUGGGUGGAAAGGGAGCGUAGACGGCGAUGCAAGUCUGAGGUGAAAGGCGGGGGCUCAACCCCCGGACUGCUUUGGAAACUGUAUGGCUGGAGUGUAGGAGAGGUAAGUGGAAUUCCUAGUGUAGCGGUGAAAUGCGUAGAUAUUAGGAGGAACACCAGUGGCGAAGGCGGCUUACUGGACUGUAACUGACGUUGAGGCUCGAAAGCGUGGGGAGCAAACAGGAUUAGAUACCCUUGUAGUC